AUGCUGCCAAACAUGGAGGAACCCCUUGUUGGAGGCAAGAGUGAGAAGACAGGAGGGCCAGGAGAGAGCCUCCUAGUGAUUGAGGUCAAGAAGCAGCUGUACCUUGCCGGGCCUCUCGUCAUCGGAAGCCUCCUGCAGAACGUCGUCCAGAUGAUAUCGGUCAUGUUUGUCGGUCACCUCGGCGAGCUCGAUCUCUCGAGUGCCUCCAUCGCCACCUCCUUCGCCGGUGUCACCGGCUUCAGCUUGUUGGCUGGCAUGUCGAGCAGCUUGGACACACUGUGUGGGCAAGCCUUCGGAGCAAAGCAGUACCAUCUUCUUGGCAUCUACAAGCAGAGGGCAAUCCUUGUGCUCACUCCUCUGAGCGUCGUGGUUGCUGUGAUAUGGGCAUACACUGGCCAGAUCCUCCUCUUCUUCGGCCAGGACCCUGAGAUUGCCAUGGGAGCAGGGAGCUACAUCCGUUGGAUGAUCCCGGCGCUGUUCGUCUACGGCCCGCUGCAGUGUCAUGUCCGGUUCCUACAGACGCAGAACAUCGUCCUCCCGGUGAUGCUGAGCUCAGGUGUCACAGCACUGAACCAUAUCUUGGUGUGCUGGUUGCUGGUUUACAAGCUUGGCCUGGGCAACAAGGGUGCUGCCUUGGCCAAUACCAUCUCUUACCUGACAAAUCUGCUCAUCCUGGCUCUCUACAUCAGGCUCUCUCCAUCCUGUAAGAGGACUUGGACAGGGUUGUCAAUGGAGGCGUUUCGCGACAUCCUUAGCUUUUUGAGGCUUGCCGUUCCAUCUGCUCUCAUGGUUUGUUUGGAGUGGUGGUCAUUUGAGCUGCUUGUACUUUUUUCUGGAUUUCUUCCAAAUCCUAAGCUCGAGGCGUCGGUGUUGUCCAUCAGUUUAAAUACUCUUUCACUACUAUUCAGAAUCCCAUCUGGUCUUGGUGCAGCUAUAAGCACCCGAGUAUCAAACGAGCUCGGCGCGGGGCGGCCUGAGGCUGCCCGUUUAGCGACCCAUGUGAUCAUGGUUCUGGGUCUUGUGUCAAGCGUAUCGGUUGGUCUUGCUAUCAUUUUGGUGCGCAAUUUAUGGGGGUACGCAUACAGCAACGAAAAGGAAGUGGUGGAAUACAUUGCCAGAAUGAUGCCAAUUCUUGCCGUGACAUUCUUGUUUGAUGACCUGCAGUGUGUCCUUUCAGGUAUCGUUAGGGGCUGUGGCUUCCAGAAGAUUGGUGCGUAUGUCAAUCUCAGCGCGUACUACCUUGUCGGCAUCCCGGCGGCUUUAUAUUUUGCCUUUGUGUACCAUCUUGGUGGAAUGGGGCUGUGGUUCGGAUUAACCUGUGGGCUUGUCGUGCAGACAGUGUUGCUCAUGUCCAUUACCCUGCGCACCAACUGGGACAAAGAAGCUUUGAAGGCAAAGGACAGGGUUUUCAGUUCUUCCCUGCCUGUAGACUUGGCAACAUGA
RNAcentral lists this ribosomal RNA (1443 nucleotides) under Triticum aestivum (bread wheat). RNAcentral's name for it is "partial small subunit ribosomal RNA". Lineage: Eukaryota; Viridiplantae; Streptophyta; Magnoliopsida; Poales; Poaceae. The record is from RNAcentral.